CCUACGGGAGGCAGCAGUGGGGAAUUUUGGACAAUGGGCGAAAGCCUGAUCCAGCAAUGCCGCGUGAGUGAAGAAGGCCUUCGGGUUGUAAAGCUCUUUUGUCAGGGAAGAAACGGUGAGAGCUAAUAUCUCUUGCUAAUGACGGUACCUGAAGAAUAAGCACCGGCUAACUACGUGCCAGCAGCCGCGGUAAUACGUAGGGUGCAAGCGUUAAUCGGAAUUACUGGGCGUAAAGCGUGCGCAGGCGGUUUUGUAAGUCUGAUGUGAAAUCCCCGGGCUCAACCUGGGAAUUGCAUUGGAGACUGCAAGGCUAGAAUCUGGCAGAGGGGGGUAGAAUUCCACGUGUAGCAGUGAAAUGCGUAGAUAUGUGGAGGAACACCGAUGGCGAAGGCAGCCCCCUGGGUCAAGAUUGACGCUCAUGCACGAAAGCGUGGGGAGCAAACAGGAUUAGAUACCCUGGUAGUCCACGCCCUAAACGAUGUCUACUAGUUGUCGGGUCUUAAUUGACUUGGUAACGCAGCUAACGCGUGAAGUAGACCGCCUGGGGAGUCGGUCGCAAGAUUAAAACGUCAAAGGAAUUGACGG
This 585-nucleotide ribosomal RNA is filed under the name uncultured bacterium. RNAcentral's name for it is "bacterial SSU rRNA". It matches the Rfam family "Bacterial small subunit ribosomal RNA", at positions 338 to 916 of the family's 1533-position model. The record is from RNAcentral.